This is a long non-coding RNA of Poecilia latipinna (sailfin molly), 101 nucleotides long. RefSeq lists it as uncharacterized. The transcript has 3 exons. The record is from RefSeq and is a predicted model, not a curated record. Lineage: Eukaryota; Metazoa; Chordata; Actinopteri; Cyprinodontiformes; Poeciliidae.
CAGAUUAGGAUCAUAACUUUUGACCUCUCAUGUUCUCGUAGCUAACCGCAGGCGUCCAUGUGUUUAUGCCGCAAAGGGUUGAGAACAUGAGAGGUUAAAAU